GGGUAUUCGACAACAGCAGGUACGGAAAAAAAGUAAAAAAAAAAUCCUCUUAUGCUCAUUUUUAUCAUCUCAUGCCACCGCCCUUUUUCAUUCAGUUAUUUCCCUAUUUUGUUCUCCUACUUCCGCAUUAUUUGUUUUUCUUCCGAAACUACGUAUUAAACAAAGACAAAAGGAGAUUGUAGAUGGGCUUUGUGGAGGAGGUAGGUUGAAUUGUUAUGUUGUUUCUCUUUAUCAUGCAUCUUAGGAUUAGAAAUCUAACUAUAUUUGUAGAUUUGUUUAUGAUCUUUUUUUGCUUUCCUUUGGGGAUAAUUAUGACAGGAUAUUCAAUACGGAAGCUUUUCUAGGCACCUACUACAAAUGGUAUACAAUAAUUGGCUGAAGACCCCAUAUGCUUAUAAAAAAUAAGAUGAAAUUGUUGAUCAGGGUUCAGGAGGACGUGAUGGAGAGGAAGAUAGAUACUAAGGCCAUGACUUGUCGAUAUUGAAGGCCGAUAGAGAAGAGUGG
This 504-nucleotide long non-coding RNA is filed under the name Erythranthe guttata (spotted monkey flower). RNAcentral describes it as "long non-coding RNA (EGUT_LNC002571)". Lineage: Eukaryota; Viridiplantae; Streptophyta; Magnoliopsida; Lamiales; Phrymaceae. The record is from RNAcentral.